CAAAACACAGACUGCUUUUAUUGUUGCCAACCAGUCCAGGGUCAGUGGUGACUGAGGACAGUAACCGGUCAGCUCAGGCCCACGUGUUGGUGUCCGUUGGAGUUGCUCCAACCACUGUUGAUGGCUGAAAGGUGGAUGUUCAUCCUUCCCUCUGCAAGCUGGUGAAGGAACAAGCGGGGACACCCCUUAGCCACAGCCGAGGUUAUGCUACAACAAAAAUCAUUAGCCUAAGUGAACCCAUAGUGUAGUACCAACAGACAGAACAUAGUAUUUUUAAGUCUUGUGAGUGAGAAAUUAAAUUUUUUCUCUUCUAUGAGAAGUCUGUGACGCUAAGUUAACAUUGCAAGGGUGAACAAAUCUCAUUUCAAAAAGUGGAGUUUCUAACAAGGCAAGUCAGCAUCCUCUGAUAAAACUGGAGUCCUUCUGCUGCAAUACAGAAUGUGAAAAAGAAACCAAAACCAAUAUAUUCUCGGAAAGAGAUGAAUUCCUCUCUAAUGUGUGGAAAACAGAAGAAAAUAAUGCUACAGAAGACUGGAAUAAAGGAAAUAAGGCUUUCCUUUAUGUGCCCAUUUAUGAGAGUAAUCCCUUCACUAGGAGAACUACAACCUUUGGACAAGGAAAAGCAGAGUUUUCACCCAUUACUUUUAGAAUAGCUGCUAAUAUAGUAAAAUUCAAAGUCAUGCAAGAUAGGGUCUUUACCUCAUUGACUGUUGCUUGCAGACCCAAUGUUUCUCUGGUGCCAUUGGAUCAUUAUAUUGUUACUGAUUGUGCUCCGCUACAACAGAGGCCGAUCACUCACCAGCUAGGUUCAGUUUUUUUAGAGGUCACAUCUUUCCUGUUGAUUCUAGGCAGAACUUUGCAGUCAGAAGAGCAGAAUAUGACCACUGGGAUGGAAAAAUGCAACAGUAGCUGGGAGAGAGAGGAGUGAGAAAAUAUGAGAGAAACAACCAGGCAGACAACCAGGUCAGUGCAGAAGGAGGGCAGGAGAGGCUCCAGGCACGCAGCAGAAGUUCCCCUGCGGCCUGUGGAGAGGCCCCUGGUGGAGCAGGCUGUCCCCCUGCAGCCCAUGGGUCCCACACGGAGCAGAUCUCCACGCUGCAGCCCGUGGAG
RNAcentral lists this long non-coding RNA (1110 nucleotides) under Anser brachyrhynchus (Pink-footed goose). RNAcentral describes it as "lncRNA (ENSABRG00000013211.1)". Lineage: Eukaryota; Metazoa; Chordata; Aves; Anseriformes; Anatidae. The record is from RNAcentral.